ACGGAGGGUGCAAGCGUUAAUCGGAAUUACUGGGCGUAAAGCGCACGCAGGCGGUUUGUUAAGUCAGAUGUGAAAUCCCCGGGCUCAACCUGGGAACUGCAUCUGAUACUGGCAAGCUUGAGUCUCGUAGAGGGGGGUAGAAUUCCAGGUGUAGCGGUGAAAGGCGUAGAGAUCUGGAUGAGUGCCGGUGGCGAAGGCGGCCCACUGGACGGGGACUGAUGCUCAGGUGCGUAAGCGUGGGGAUCCAACAG
RNAcentral lists this ribosomal RNA (251 nucleotides) under uncultured prokaryote. RNAcentral describes it as "partial 16S rRNA". It matches the Rfam family "Bacterial small subunit ribosomal RNA", at positions 525 to 775 of the family's 1533-position model. The record is from RNAcentral.